RNAcentral lists this ribosomal RNA (495 nucleotides) under uncultured bacterium. RNAcentral describes it as "partial 16S ribosomal RNA". It matches the Rfam family "Bacterial small subunit ribosomal RNA", at positions 28 to 507 of the family's 1533-position model. The record is from RNAcentral.
GACGAACGCUGGCGGCGUGCCUAAUACAUGCAAGUAGAACGCUGAAGGAGGAGCUUGCUUCUCCGGAUGAGUUGCGAACGGGUGAGUAACGCGUAGGUAACCUGCCUGGUAGCGGGGGAUAACUAUUGGAAACGAUAGCUAAUACCGCAUAAGAGUAGAUGUUGCAUGACAUUUGCUUAAAAGGUGCAAUUGCAUCACUACCAGAUGGACCUGCGUUGUAUUAGCUAGUUGGUGGGGUAACGGCUUACCAAGGCGACGAUACAUAGCCGACCUGAGAGGGUGAUCGGCCACACUGGGACUGAGACACGGCCCAGACUCCUACGGGAGGCAGCAGUAGGGAAUCUUCGGCAAUGGACGGAAGUCUGACCGAGCAACGCCGCGUGAGUGAAGAAGGUUUUCGGAUCGUAAAGAUCUGUUGUAAGAGAAGAACGAGUGUGAGAGUGGAAAGUUCACACUGUGACGGUAUCUUACCAGAAAGGGACGGCUAACUACGUG